GGUGUGACGCCUGCACCGGUGCUCGAGGUUAAGAGGAUGCGUCAGUCGCAAGAUGAAGCGUUGAAUUGAAGCCCGAGUAAACGGCGGCCGUAACUAUAACGGUCCUAAGGUAGCGAAAUUCCUUGUCGGUUAAAUACCGACCUGCAUGAAUGGCGUAACGAGAUGGGAGCUGUCUCAACCAGAGAUUCAGUGAAAUUGUAGUGGAGGUGAAAAUUCCUCCUACCCGCGGCAAGACGGAAAGACCCCGUGGACCUUUACUACAACUUAGCACUGCUAAUGGGAAUAUCAUGCGCAGGAUAGGUGGGAGGCUUUGAAGUAAGGGCUUUGGCUCUUAUGGGAGGCCAUCCUUGAGAUUACCACCCUUGAUGUUUCUGUUA
This 377-nucleotide ribosomal RNA is filed under the name Helicobacter pylori. RNAcentral describes it as "bacterial LSU rRNA". It matches the Rfam family "Bacterial large subunit ribosomal RNA", at positions 1849 to 2220 of the family's 2925-position model. Lineage: Bacteria; Pseudomonadati; Campylobacterota; Epsilonproteobacteria; Campylobacterales; Helicobacteraceae. The record is from RNAcentral.